Small nuclear RNA from Dipodomys ordii (Ord's kangaroo rat), 104 nucleotides. The record is from Ensembl. NCBI's taxonomy places the organism in Eukaryota, Metazoa, Chordata, Mammalia, Rodentia, Heteromyidae.
GUGCUUGCUUUGGCAGCAUGCAUACUAAAAUUGGACAGACACAGAGAUUAGCAUGGACUCUGUGCAGAGAAGGCACAAAAAUUCAUGAAGCUUUCUGUAUUUUU